RNAcentral lists this ribosomal RNA (254 nucleotides) under uncultured bacterium. RNAcentral's name for it is "partial 16S ribosomal RNA". It matches the Rfam family "Bacterial small subunit ribosomal RNA", at positions 524 to 776 of the family's 1533-position model. The record is from RNAcentral.
UACGGAGGGAGCGAGCGUUGUCCGAAGUUACUGGGCGUAAAGCGCGCGUAGGCGGGGGAUUAAGUGAGAAGUGAAAGGCUGGGGCUCAACCCCAUGCAGUGCUUCUCAUACUGGUCCUCUUGAGGGUGGUAGAGAGAAGUGGAAUGGCUGGUGUAGCGGUGAAAUGCGCAGAUAUCAGGAAGAACACCAAUGGCGAAGGCAGCUCUCUGGGACGGUACUGACGCUGAGACGCGAAAGCGUGGGGAGCGAACAGG